Colossoma macropomum (tambaqui) is the source of this 1718-nucleotide long non-coding RNA. RefSeq lists it as uncharacterized. Lineage: Eukaryota; Metazoa; Chordata; Actinopteri; Characiformes; Serrasalmidae. The record is from RefSeq and is a predicted model, not a curated record. The transcript is spliced from 2 exons.
UAUUAACAAACAUCAGAUAAACAAACAUUACUCACCGCUGCCCUCUAAAGGUGUUAUUUAUAAACAUCAGAUAAACAAACAUUACUCACCGCUGCCCUCUAAAGGUGUUAUUUAUAAACAUCAGAUAAACAAACAUUACUCACCGCUGCCCUCUAAGAAUGUUAACAAACAUCAGAUAAACAAACACGACACACCGCUGCCCUCUAAAUUAACAAACAUCAAAAAGCACUGCUCACAGCCACCAUCUAAAAGCAAAACUGACAUCAAAUAAACAAACAUUAUUAUGAAAGUAAAAGUCUUAAGUGGCAGAUCUGCUAUCUAUAAUAGUAGCUCUCAACUGACGACAGACACAGCUUGAGCUCAAAUAAUCAUUCAUCGCUGCCCUCUGCCACCCUCUAAAGCAAAGUGAAGAUGCCCACCACUUCCUCCUAAAGUAAAUAAAGGUGUUAUUAACGAACAUCAAAUAAGAACAACUGGAAAACAAUUAGUCAUCUUACAUAACUGCGGACAGGUGAUGAUGUAAUAAUUGUGACAGGCCUAAUUGUAGUGAUGUUUAAUCAUAAAGCUAAGAUCUGUAGCACUAAUUAAUUAACAUUAAUUACAAUGUUACCUUCUAAUGGGCUGAUAUGUGGCAGAAUGUCAGGUGUUUAUUUGUAGGUUAAGGGGCCAAGUGACUACAAAAGCCAAGUAAUUAUCAGUGAACAAGGCAGCAUAUGCAGUGCAUACAAGGCAAGCUAUAGUCUUGCACUUGUAUAAUUAUGAGUUAUAAUAUUACAAUGUUCAUACGUUUUAAUGAUUGUUAAUUUAUAAUAGUCGCAAUGUAGUAAAUGACCUCUCUCUGCAAGAACUGAGUGUUUCCUUUGGGUGCAACACAGGCUUGUAACCACAAGAGGGCAAACUUGCCAUAACAGAAUCAUUGAAAUGCUCAUGCUCAUAUUUUUAGUGGAAAUAUUUGUGAAUGUUUGCGUUUUAAAGCUAAUGGUCAGCUCUGAAAAUUUCAGCGUGGCAUUAUGUAUCAUUGCUGUCCAGGAAAAAUAAACAUGCACCUUUUUUUAACACUAAAUGUCUCUUUACGUUAACUUACAUUAAAAGAACGUUGCUACCUUCUUUUAAAGUUACAACGUUGGAAAUGCAUGUUAGGCUUUUUUCGGACAGCAGUGAUAUGCACUUUGUAUAGUGUGUUUACCUUAAUGAGUUUAGGUCCACAGUGACAAUGACUCAUUUUGUUCAGUGUGCUCAGGAAUCAGAAUCACUUUAUUGCCAAGUAUGACGAGCAGAUAAUCUGCUUUGGCAAUGUUGGGAAUGACAGUCAACAUUCAAGAACAUACAGUAUGUUCUACUGACAUGUGCCAGUAGAACAUACAUUCAUCCAGACAUGCUCAUUCAUACAUUAUGCAGUGAUGAAAGGGGAAAACUCACAACAGGCCUCAUUCACUGAAUUUAAGAAGAAACUUAGGAAGAAAUUGAUGAAUGAGGCCCAUUGUUUUUCUUCAAAGAAGAUGGGUUGCACGAUAUAUUGUUUAUUAAUCAUUAUCAUGAUACUGACCUUUCCAAUACUGAUGUUGCAGAAGGCUGCCACAUGCAAAAAAGCCCACUAACCAACCAGUGUUUUUUCUGUGUGCUGUAAAAAUUGACCAAUUUUCAAGUUCAAAAUAAGUGUUCCUGUCAGCGUUUUGAUGAAUCAACAAGAUACUAAUAAAAACUGAUUAUUUUUCAUA